GAUUUACUGGGCGUAAAGAGCGUUGAGGCGGUUCUGUAAGUUGGGCGUGAAAGCCCUCGGCUUAACUGAGGGACGCCGUCCAAUACUGCAGGACUUGAGGGCAGCAGAGGGAGGUGGAAUUCCCGGUGUAGCGGUGAAAUGCGUAGAGAUCGGGAGGAACACCAGUGGCGAAGGCGGCCUCCUGGGCUGCUUCUGACGCUGAAUGCGAAAGCUAGGGUAGCGAACGGGAUUAGAAACCCCGGUAGUCCUAGCUGUAAACGAUGGAUGCUAGGUGUAGGAGGUAUAGAUCCCUUCUGUGCCGAAGCUAACGCGAUAAGCAUCCCGCCUGGGGACUACGGCCGCAAGGCUAAAACUCAAACGAAUUGACGGGGGCCCGCACAAGCAGCGGAGCGUGUGGUUUAAUUCGAUGCUACACGAAGAACCUUACCUGGGUUUGACAUGUAGGUAGUAGUGAAGCGAAAGCGGAACGACCCUUCGGGGAGCCUACACAGGUGCUGCAUGGCUGUCGUCAGCUCGUGCCGUGAGGUGUCGGGUUAAGUCCCGUAACGAGCGCAACCCCUGUCCUUAGUUACAAGUGUCUAAGGAGACUGCCGGCGACAAGCCGGAGGAAGGUGGGGAUGACGUCAAGUCAGCAUGGCCUUUAUGUCCAGGGCUACACACACGCUACAAUGGCCGGUACAAUGGGUUGCCAAGCCGUGAGNCGGAGCUAAUCCCCCAAAGCCGGUCUCAGUUCGGAUUGUGGGCUGCAACUCGCCCACAUGAAGUUGGAGUUGCUAGUAACCGCAGGUCAGCUAUACUGCGGUGAAUACGUUCCCGGGCAUUGUACACACCGCCCGUCACGUCAUGGAAGUCAGUAACACCUGAAGCCGGUGGGCUAACCUGCAAGGGGGCAGCCGUCGAAGG
RNAcentral lists this ribosomal RNA (903 nucleotides) under uncultured organism. RNAcentral's name for it is "bacterial SSU rRNA". It matches the Rfam family "Bacterial small subunit ribosomal RNA", at positions 548 to 1462 of the family's 1533-position model. The record is from RNAcentral.